AUUGAACGCUGGCGGCAGGCCUAACACAUGCAAGUCGAACGGUAACAGGAAGCAGCUUGCUGCUUCGCUGACGAGUGGCGGACGGGUGAGUAAUGUCUGGGAAACUGCCUGAUGGAGGGGGAUAACUACUGGAAACGGUAGCUAAUACCGCAUAACGUCGCAAGACCAAAGAGGGGGACCUUAGGGCCUCUUGCCAUCGGAUGUGCCCAGAUGGGGUUAGCUAGUAGGGGGGGUAACGGCUCACCUAGGUGACGAUCCCUAGCUGGGCCGAGGGGAUGACCAGCCACACGUGAGCUGAGACACGGUCCAGACUCCGACGGGAGGCAGCGGUGGGGAAUAUUGCACAAGGGGCGCAAGCCUGAUGCAGCCAUGCCGCGUGUAUGAAGAAGGCCUUCGGGUUGUAAAGUACUUUCAGCGGGGAGGAAGGGAGUAAAGUUAAUACCUUUGCUCAUGGACGUUACCCGCAGAAGAAGCACCGGCUAACUCCGU
RNAcentral lists this ribosomal RNA (489 nucleotides) under uncultured bacterium. Its description in RNAcentral is "partial 16S ribosomal RNA". It matches the Rfam family "Bacterial small subunit ribosomal RNA", at positions 29 to 506 of the family's 1533-position model. The record is from RNAcentral.